GAAGAGUGUAUAUGCUUUUAUGGAAAUAUCUGAAAAUAUUAAGAUCAUCCAUUGUUGAACUUGGAAUUUGGAAGGAGGUAUCUACAAAAACAAGAUUGUGAAAUAAUGGAACCAUGACCAACAAAUGCCUUAUAAUUCCGAAAGCAAGGGAAAGGUUUUUCAAACGUAUUUUGCCAACAUGAUCUGCAAUGGUGUACCCUACCCUACUGUUCCUUCCAUCUUGACUGCUGUCUCCUAA
This 238-nucleotide long non-coding RNA is filed under the name Mus spicilegus (steppe mouse). Its description in RNAcentral is "lncRNA (ENSMSIG00000010567.1)". The record is from RNAcentral. Lineage: Eukaryota; Metazoa; Chordata; Mammalia; Rodentia; Muridae.